This 30-nucleotide non-coding RNA is filed under the name Rattus norvegicus (Norway rat). The record is from RNAcentral. Lineage: Eukaryota; Metazoa; Chordata; Mammalia; Rodentia; Muridae.
UAAAGACAGUUCUGAAACCUCAUUUUUGAU